RNAcentral lists this ribosomal RNA (1703 nucleotides) under Escherichia coli. Its description in RNAcentral is "partial 23S ribosomal RNA". It matches the Rfam family "Bacterial large subunit ribosomal RNA", at positions 1 to 1746 of the family's 2925-position model. Lineage: Bacteria; Pseudomonadati; Pseudomonadota; Gammaproteobacteria; Enterobacterales; Enterobacteriaceae. RNAcentral also lists the same sequence under 1 other name. The record is from RNAcentral.
GGUUAAGCGACUAAGCGUACACGGUGGAUGCCCUGGCAGUCAGAGGCGAUGAAGGACGUGCUAAUCUGCGAUAAGCGUCGGUAAGGUGAUAUGAACCGUUAUAACCGGCGAUUUCCGAAUGGGGAAACCCAGUGUGAUUCGUCACACUAUCAUUAACUGAAUCCAUAGGUUAAUGAGGCGAACCGGGGGAACUGAAACAUCUAAGUACCCCGAGGAAAAGAAAUCAACCGAGAUUCCCCCAGUAGCGGCGAGCGAACGGGGAGCAGCCCAGAGCCUGAAUCAGUGUGUGUGUUAGUGGAAGCGUCUGGAAAGGCGCGCGAUACAGGGUGACAGCCCCGUACACAAAAAUGCACAUGCUGUGAGCUCGAUGAGUAGGGCGGGACACGUGGUAUCCUGUCUGAAUAUGGGGGGACCAUCCUCCAAGGCUAAAUACUCCUGACUGACCGAUAGUGAACCAGUACCGUGAGGGAAAGGCGAAAAGAACCCCGGCGAGGGGAGUGAAAAAGAACCUGAAACCGUGUACGUACAAGCAGUGGGAGCACGCUUAGGCGUGUGACUGCGUACCUUUUGUAUAAUGGGUCAGCGACUUAUAUUCUGUAGCAAGGUUAACCGAAUAGGGGAGCCGAAGGGAAACCGAGUCUUAACUGGGCGUUAAGUUGCAGGGUAUAGACCCGAAACCCGGUGAUCUAGCCAUGGGCAGGUUGAAGGUUGGGUAACACUAACUGGAGGACCGAACCGACUAAUGUUGAAAAAUUAGCGGAUGACUUGUGGCUGGGGGUGAAAGGCCAAUCAAACCGGGAGAUAGCUGGUUCUCCCCGAAAGCUAUUUAGGUAGCGCCUCGUGAAUUCAUCUCCGGGGGUAGAGCACUGUUUCGGCAAGGGGGUCAUCCCGACUUACCAACCCGAUGCAAACUGCGAAUACCGGAGAAUGUUAUCACGGGAGACACACGGCGGGUGCUAACGUCCGUCGUGAAGAGGGAAACAACCCAGACCGCCAGCUAAGGUCCCAAAGUCAUGGUUAAGUGGGAAACGAUGUGGGAAGGCCCAGACAGCCAGGAUGUUGGCUUAGAAGCAGCCAUCAUUUAAAGAAAGCGUAAUAGCUCACUGGUCGAGUCGGCCUGCGCGGAAGAUGUAACGGGGCUAAACCAUGCACCGAAGCUGCGGCAGCGACGCUGAUGCGUUGUUGGGUAGGGGAGCGUUCUGUAAGCCUGUGAAGGUGUGCUGUGAGGCAUGCUGGAGGUAUCAGAAGUGCGAAUGCUGACAUAAGUAACGAUAAAGCGGGUGAAAAGCCCGCUCGCCGGAAGACCAAGGGUUCCUGUCCAACGUUAAUCGGGGCAGGGUGAGUCGACCCCUAAGGCGAGGCCGAAAGGCGUAGUCGAUGGGAAACAGGUUAAUAUUCCUGUACUUGGUGUUACUGCGAAGGGGGGACGGAGAAGGCUAUGUUGGCCGGGCGACGGUUGUCCCGGUUUAAGCGUGUAGGCUGGUUUUCCAGGCAAAUCCGGAAAAUCAAGGCUGAGGCGUGAUGACGAGGCACUACGGUGCUGAAGCAACAAAUGCCCUGCUUCCAGGAAAAGCCUCUAAGCAUCAGGUAACAUCAAAUCGUACCCCAAACCGACACAGGUGGUCAGGUAGAGAAUACCAAGGCGCUUGAGAGAACUCGGGUGAAGGAACUAGGCAAAAUGGUGCCGUAACUUCGGGAGAAGG